Long non-coding RNA from Oenanthe melanoleuca, 3429 nucleotides. RefSeq lists it as uncharacterized. The record is from RefSeq and is a predicted model, not a curated record. NCBI's taxonomy places the organism in Eukaryota, Metazoa, Chordata, Aves, Passeriformes, Muscicapidae. The transcript is spliced from 5 exons.
AGGAAGGGCUGUAAAAAUGACAGGGAAAGUUGCCCGAGCAGAAGAAUGGAUGCAGAGGCAUCGCCCUGCCGUUGUGGGCUUCCUGUCUGGAACAGUACGUCCUGACCGCUUGUCCUGCUGCGGGACCGGUAUGUGCCAGCAGGUCUGCUCAAGGCUGGGCUAGUUCUGUGUCUUAGAGCUAGCCUGUCCUGCAGUGUGCAGGGGUUUUUUCUGCUUGUGAAUUUUGUAUCGUAGAAUAUUCUGAAUUGGAAGGGACCCGUAAGUAUAAUUGAGUUCAACUCCUGGCCCUGCACAGGACAACUCCCAAGAAUUCCACCACGUGCCUGAGAGUGUUGUCCAAACUCUGGCAGACCUGGUGCUGUGACCACUUCCCUAGGGAGCAUAUCCCAGUGCCCCACCAGCCUCUGGGGGAAGAAACUUUUGCUAAUAUCCAAACCUUUGGGCUGCUGCUGCACACUUCCCUGCUCCCACAUUGUCAUGUCCAUGCUUUAAACAGAGCUCAUCGGUCAAUAUCCAUUUGAGGACAGAGCCUAUGAUAAGCAUCGAUCACUGUGGCUGUGGCAAUGCUGAGAAGAUGGGCCUUUCUUGGUGAGGAUUGCAGCCUUCAGGUGUGACUGGAGAACUGCAGCAGCAGUGGGAUCUGUGAUACAGCUGGAGGGGUCUGCCAGUGCCACAAGAAGUUCAUUGGACAGGACUGGAGUGAAAAUCAAUGUCCUGGGGAUUGCAGUAGCAAGGGGUUCUGUGACACUGGAGUGUGCUGCUGUUAUGAUGGCUUCCUUGGCCUCAGCUGCUCCCGGGGAGAGCAAGGACCUACCACAAUGUCUGGAAGUUCACAACAUGGGACAGAGAUAAAUGAUGUGGCUCUCAGCAGCUGUGCCGUGAUGCACCACGGUGCAUGGUGGUAUAAGAACUGCCACCUGGCCAACCUCAAUGGGAAGCACGGGGAGAGCAAUCACAGUGAGGGUGUGAGCUGGGAGUCAUGGAAAGACAUGAAUUCUCCAUCCCUUUUACAGAGAUGAAGAUUCGUCCUCAGUCUUCCAGUAAUGAACCAGUUCUGAGGAGGAGGAGGAAGAAGUCUUUAUCAGAGAAGAGGAUUAUUCUCUGGAGGAUUCUCUUAGGAUUAUCAGAGAAUAGAACUCUCUGUGGAACAAUACCCAAACAUAAUGAUUCAGUAUUUCUUAACACUUUUAUUCAGACAGCUUUCUCCAGUACAAAGGAGACAAUAGCUGACCAAUGUGCAUCCAGGAACAUCUGGAUCUACAGGCCAGCCUGCUACCAGCCUUUAGAGCUCCUGGUGGGUGAUAUUCCAGGGACUAGGAGGGGCUUGUGGGGGCAUCCUGCUUAUAGAUAGUCUGGUUGGCUAUGCAUGAGAAAAACCUGCUUGAUCCAAUACAUACAGCUUCUAUGAACUUUAUGUAAAACAAAUGUUAACAUAUGUUGUUCUUUCUGAAACCUGGGCUGUAGACUUCUCUUAAUUCUGUCCUUCUCUGGUGACAUCCACUUCAGACUUCCAAAAAUAAGUUUGAACCCACUAACAAAUAGUAGCCCCCUAAUUUAGAUCAAAACGAACUUUUCUGAGACUGUCAUCUCUCCCUGUUUUGGUCUGCAGUUCUCCUCAUUAUUUGGACAUAUUCCCUAUUCUUCCUGCCAAACUGGGGUUUGGGAAAUGCUGCCAGUCUGCUGACAAGGCUCAUUAACCCAUGUGUGUUCUGAAGACUGGGUUCCUCAACCUCCAGUAUCACAUCUCUGCAGGUUAAAAUCUGGCUAUUUUGCUUGUUUCAUGUUUCCCAGACCAGAGAAAAACAUAAGAUGUGCAAUAGAUUGAUGUUCACACUCCAGGGUGAGGCCCAGAACAGGGUGAAUGUAAGGUCCACUGUCAUCCAGGCUCUGCUCACCAUCCCAGACCUGCCUCCCUGUAUUGCUUCCUUACAGACAAUUAACCAAACUCCCUUUGUGACUGUUUGUAAGAGUCGGUCUGAAGUUUUCUCUGAUCUGCCUCACAACCAUCAUCAGAGACUGGGACCUGAGAUUGCACCACUUGCCCUGAACUGAGCUCGGGCCUUGCUUGUGGGUCAAGGACUGUUUGUAGCUGUGCCUGGUGCUUGUCAUGGCACACUGCAGGGUACUGGUUAUCGCACCCUGUCCCCGCACCUGUGUCAUGGAGCUACGAUCUCCACAUACAAUAGUACAUAAAUCUCCCCACCUUUUGGCCAGAGGCCACUUGCUUUGGAAAAGGACUAUAAAAAGUGACUUUCUUAAAGGAGAUUUGAGAUCUCUUUCUCCCCAACGGAUUGAAGAUGCGUCUCGUCUCGUCGGACAACCACAAGGAUGCGUCCCGUCUGUUGGUAGCUAUAUCCCAUCCUUAUCUCUCUUACCCUCUCCCUACUUAAUUUCCUUUUAUCUCUCUCUCUCUCUCUCAAAACUUAAUUAUUAGCAUGCAAUAAACUGCAUUAUUGCUUUCUGCUAAACAAACCUGAGUCUCUUGCUUUUGUCUUUUGCACCCUGGGGUCGAACGAACCAUCACAACUCCCGCUCAGGUUGAGCGGAUCAUGACACUGUUCCAUCUGCUGCCUUCUGCUUUUUCAUCAGCAGUGUGGCAGGUAGUGUUGUUGAAAUGGUAACACUUGUCAUCCACCUCUAAAAUGAACGUCUCUUGGAGUUAAAGUGAUCCUGUGUGCCCUAGUGUAUGGUUUCACAUUUGACUGCUUUUUAUUUCUAUUUUUUUUCUUUUUUUCUUUCUUUUUUUUUUUUCUCACAGCCAUGAAGGUGAGGUUUAUUUUCUUUCCAGCUAGGGAAAAGUAUGAGCUAAACAAAUACUGCUUGCUCAAAGUCUUUCUUGUCUGACCACACUGGGACAUGGUUAUCCCAUGUCUUACUGGCCUUUUCUAUCACAGUACUAAACUGAGUAAUACAUUUUAAAGAGUCCUUCCCAGACUCUGGAGAAAGUAAUAAAAUCACAAAUUAAGGAGGUCCUAAAAUAUUUCAGUCUUCUUUGCGUGGGUGGUAGAAUUAUUUUUCUUCCUAUUUAAGCAUUUUGCACAAAGUGGAAGCAUUACCCAGGCCUGGAGUGGGACUGUGCAGAUUAGUUCUUUGGAGUCUGCUCCAAAACAGGGAUGGGGACUGUGCUCUCUUUGUGCCUUAACUCUGUGAAACACUUAUCUGAUCUGUGCUUGCUAGGACCUGGCUGACAAGAGCCAGCUAGAGGGCUGUCUCUCAAAGGUGAGGACUAAAUUGUUCAUCAUACUUUCAGGGCUGUGCCUCUUUUGUGGGCAGGUGGGCAGAGACUCAUCUGAGCUGCAUUAAGAUAUCCAAGCCCUGGUUUGGGGGUAGGAGGAGACUAAUGAUGAGAGUAGUAGAAAGGAAAAUGGUACUUGAAGUGUUUUGCAGGCUCUGUGCUAAGAGUAUGAGAGAAGGACAUGGGAAAGCAAU